RNAcentral lists this ribosomal RNA (135 nucleotides) under Vibrio parahaemolyticus. RNAcentral describes it as "partial 16S ribosomal RNA". It matches the Rfam family "Bacterial small subunit ribosomal RNA", at positions 1 to 118 of the family's 1533-position model. Lineage: Bacteria; Pseudomonadati; Pseudomonadota; Gammaproteobacteria; Vibrionales; Vibrionaceae. The record is from RNAcentral. RNAcentral also lists the same sequence under 1 other name.
AAAUUGAAGAGUUUGAUCAUGGCUCAGAUUGAACGCUGGCGGCAGGCCUAACACAUGCAAGUCGAGCGGAAACGAGUUAUCUGAACCUUCGGGGAACGAUAACGGCGUCGAGCGGCGGACGGGUGAGUAAUGCCU